This is a long non-coding RNA of Cyanistes caeruleus (blue tit), 2074 nucleotides long. Lineage: Eukaryota; Metazoa; Chordata; Aves; Passeriformes; Paridae. The record is from Ensembl.
GUGCCUCAUUGCAUGUGCACAGGACCUUGUCUGUAGAAGUUUCCUCACUGCAGAGUGCUUGGUGACACAGAAAUGUACGAGUGUAUUAGGGAGAGGAGGGAGGCAAGCUGGAAAAUGGGCUGCAGUGUUUUGACCUGGAUACAAUAAGCACCCAUACAUGAGAUGAAACAGCAGUCCUGAGAAAGUACUUUGGUCUGAUGUCAAGUUUGGGUGGAUUUAAACCCCCUGCAUCCAAGUAAGUCACAUACCAAAAGACUGUCCCUGAUUUAUACAGGGAAGGCUAGUUAAGCCUCUUUAUAUUUAAAAUAAUAAACCAAUGCCAUAUUUACUGCCACUUCAUGGCAGUAAAUAACUACUUUUACAAGUAGUUCAAUUCUUAUCUGUGUUUCUGCAGACAUAAUUUUCUGCUUCUAUGGUAUUUCUUUGUCUGGAGCGGGAGGAUGGUCCAGCUUUCUCUCCUGUGCAACACCUCAUAUGACUAGCCUGAAUACUGAUUUGAAUGUACAGAAUUGAAAUAUUCUGGUCCAAAUCCAUUCCCUAGCAGUCAAUUGGGAUAGGAGAGAUAGGGUAAAUAUCUGCUUACCGGACGGCAGAUUUUUUUUCUUACUAUUUGCAUUAAAAAUAUUAUCUCAGUUAGGGAUACUUCUGCCUACCAAUUGUAUGGCCAUUCACAGCUCAAGGGCAGCUCUGCUAUUAGCCACAACAUAACAGAGCUUUCUAUACAUCAAAUGAAUUUUCAGCUCGAAACAGUAAUCAAAUCAAAAUAGCACUGACAGAACAAACCAAUGACUCCAUGCUAAGACACUAUUAAACCAUAGUGACUAAUAGCAGAAACUAUCUUGUCUCCUUUCUGACUCACUGAUAUCUUGUUUUCAGGUUACCUAUUUGCCAAGUCCAUAUAAUUCCAGAAGGAUAGCCAUUCCCCUACCAUAUACCCAAGGAUGAUGGUAUCAAUAUCCACAGCAUGUGAUUCAAACCCUCAAUGACUGCAAUGCACAAUGCAAGGAGAGAUUCGGAGGCUGGAAUAGGGGCUGCUGCUUCCACAGGAGAACAGCUCUUGAGGCUUCAAAGUGAGGUACACCAUGGAACAGAACUGGUGGUAAAUGCCAGACUCCUAGCAAGCACUGGACCUGCUGUGCCUGCCCCAACCCAGCUAAGCCUGUGUCUGCACUGGCACUUCAGUUGCUCUCAGUUGGCAUCUGACAGUACCUCUGCCACCAGCAGAUAACCAAACAGGAAACAUGUGGAAUAUGAAAAAAACCAACAACAACAAAAUGCAAAUACAAACAGACAAAAAACCCCACCAUCAUCAAAAACCUAAGGAAAAAGAAAAGGGUCAAAUAAGAAAUUGCACAUGAGAGCUUCCAGCAGGAAAAAAAAAAAAAAGAUGUAUUCUAUCAGAAAUUUUGAAAGAAACCAAAUUUCCAGCAUCCUUUACCAAACAAUACUUUGUUUGUUUAGAGAAGCAUACAGUAAUAGAAACUGUAUUUCAUGCAGGAAAUUCUAAUUUUAUUUUUUUUUAAAAAAAAAGAAGGUUAUUUGAGCAGCAGAAACCAAACAGGGUUUGAUUCCAAAACAGGAACAUUUACCUUUGUAAGAAUAAGAAAAACAGUGUUUGUACUUUUUUUUUUGAGGUCUUUUAGGAAAUAAGGGAUACCUGCCAUUCACUCCAAGGAUUGUAUAGAAUUUAGCUGCCAGGCUGCACAAAUAACAGAAAAUUUCCUGCUGGCAUAUGUUUUAUAUUUGCAACGUCACUGUUACUUGGCACAUCUGGCCAAUGUCAAAAAUGCCCAUUUCUGAUAUCUCUUGAAAACCAACCAUCUGUGAUGCAAUAUGUAAAGUAUCCAUAAAUUGACUAAACUUCAUUAAACAAGAAUGAUAAGGAACAUUGUGAUGUGUGUAUACAUUUAUCAGUAGAAAGAACAGGACACAUGCCAGCUUCUUCAAGGGGAAUGGACAAAAGUACAAUGAGAGAAAACAAAGGAGCUACACAGAAUAUUGCUAGUUUGCAAAGUAUCAGUAAAAUCUAAGCAAUUUAUCAGCCUACCCUUCACCAAUUUUCAAUAGCUUCCAG